CGAUAUAAGCAGAGUUAAGUGCAAUCAGUCAUUAUUAACUGUUAUGGAAGAUUUUUUAAUUUAAUAGUGAUGACGAAUGACCAUUGGACUUAUUUUUAUGUCUAUAAAUGUUGAUUAUAGUUUACUGAUAUUGAGUUUAGACUAUAUUAGAUUUUUAUUGUAACCUCAAAUGUUAAUAUUGCAUAGAUUCUGUUACUUCUUACUUUCAUUUGGUUAUACAUAAUUCUUGCUAUAUUAGUAUUAUUAUACCAUGAUCCUUUAUUGGAAAACCCAAAAGCCUCAUUAACUUUGAUUGUUUCUUGGUGAUAUUUAAAUGAAUCUUCCGCUCAUUCAUUCAUCUUCUUAAAGUCUGAAUGUGUGAUGUUCAAUCUGUCAUUUUGUUGACAGGUUGGAUUAUCUUCUCGCCUGACUAAGUACCUCACAUGUGAUGUUGCAACUCUUUAAGAUGCUGUCAUUCGGGUAGUCAUUGCUUUGGCUUAAGAUUUUGUUUCAGCCGCAAAUACGUUUAAUCUUUUGUUAGGUAAUUUAGCAAAUAUUAGUUUUCCUUUUUCCUGGCUGAGUUUGCUAUCACUCUACUUUUGACUUGUUGGAAGCUUAUUUACGUGGUAGUGACUUCAGUUUCCAGAUUAUGUCCAUUACUUCAUGGAAAACUUGCAAAAAGUUGUCUGACAUAAAUUACAUCUGGAUUAAGGCAUGAAAAAGAUGUUGAAUUGUGUUUUUCUUGGGUCUUAUAUAUCGAUUCUAUGUAAAUUAAAAUCUACAACACUCUUUUCUAAUGGAAUUAAAAAAAAUAUACUUGUUUUGUGUAUUGUGUAGAAUAUUUAACUAGAAGGAUGUCGGACAUUUGCACCACUCUAUUGGGGAAUGAGGCCGAUAAUGUGCUUAGUUGUAUGGUUCUCCCUGAUAAUUGAGUACCACCAAUAUAACACUACACAUUGUUUAAUUGCCACGAGGUGAUUGUAUUUGUCUUCUCGAGUUACCCUUCCGUUAUGCCAUUUUAUUCCCUAAUGAGAAUUGCGGUCAUUUAGAUUAUAGAAGUAGAGCUUCACGAAAUUAUCAUGGAUGCUUAUGGGAAACCUAGGAUCUUCCUCCCUUGAGUUUUAGUUGUUGGCUAUGAAAUUUUUGUAUAUAAGGGAAGUCAGUAAUGUUCACAUUAUCUUUACAUGUGGAUAGAACUUAAAAAAUUAGUGAAUAAUCUAUAUACAAAUAUAAAGCUAAAAAAAUAAAAUCUGAUGUGGAACCUCCCCGUGCUCAGGGAUGUACUAUUUAUCUCUUUUCUCCCUUUUUGGAAAUUUUCACGUUUGCAAGAUUCUUAAAAAACCUACAAAAAGAAAAAACAUGUCGCUUCUGAAUUACUGUAUAAUUUUUUUUCAUGUUUAUUCGGUUUGGUGAUUUAUACACAGUUUCUUGCCUUGGUGCAGUUUAUGCAAUAGAGCAGAGAUGAGCAACUUCGUCAAGGUUGGAUUUCCCUUUGGAUCAGUAGAUCAGUAUGUGUUUUCCUCAACUCUCAGUAUAUUUUUUCUCUACAUUAUUACCUCCACUUUAGUUGUAAAAAAAUAAAUUGUCCUCUCUAAGCUUUCAAAUUAAUAUAGUAAAAUCUAUCCUGAAACGCAAAUUUGGUUCCUUACUUCUUUGAUGAAAAUCAAAAUAAAUAUGUUAGGAAUUAUGUUAAGAUAUGUUUUCAUAACGAUUUUAGAAGAUCUUUAGUUUUGCAAAUUGUCUUGCACUAAAUACAACUAUUACAUGCAUUACCUCUAAAAUUUGACUCGGAUGACUGGAUUGAUUUACUGGUUGAUAAACAUAUGUAAUUUUCAUGUUUGAUGGUAACGUUAAGCCUCAUUGCAACCACAAAACAUGUUUCUGAUUCAUUUGUUUAAUCGAGUUUUUACUGUCAGAUGUUUGCAUUGAUUUCCUCUUUUUAGGUAUUAGCAAUCGCUCUUUACGAUCAAGUUUUGGUUCUCUCAGUCAACCAUGGUGAGCAACACUAAUCUAUCCAUUUGUGCCUUUUGAUUUCAACUGCUCUUUAAUUUUUAUGAUUGUUGUAUAUCAGUUUUGGUCGCACUUAUUUGUAUAAAGAGAUAAGUUAUCGCUUUGAGGAAAGCUCUUCUCAACCUCAAUGGGUUUCACUUUUCAGGACAAAGAUCUCUGAUGUAUCUUAAUAAUGGAUUGGUGGACUUUAAAACCUUCAGACGGCAUCACCUGACAAUUAUGUGAAGUUUAUGUGAAGUUCAUAGCAGGAAGCUUGAAAUAUGAAAUGUGCGCCUAAAUAAAAUAUGGAGGGACUGUAUAUUGGUGAUUUUAUACAAACGUGUGGGGGC
RNAcentral lists this long non-coding RNA (2318 nucleotides) under Nicotiana tabacum (common tobacco). RNAcentral's name for it is "long non-coding RNA (NTAB_LNC002763)". The record is from RNAcentral. Lineage: Eukaryota; Viridiplantae; Streptophyta; Magnoliopsida; Solanales; Solanaceae.